AUUAUAUGUACAUUUAGUGGAGGCCUAGAUAAGAGUGAAAUGGACGUAUAGCGAAACGAAAAGCUAUAUACAAUUGUCGUAAUACAAGAUGGUAUAGAUCUCCAUAGAGGAAACUCAGUUUAAAAAAUGACCUAGUGAAUUGAAACAUCUUAGUAACUAGAGGAAUAGAAAUCAACCGAGACUCCGUUAGUAGUGGUGAGCGAAAGCGGAAUAGGCCAAUAUCAAUAAUGAUAAAUAUCUGUAAAAUAAGCUCUGCUUAUUUAAUUUUUUGUAUUGUUCUAGCAAAUCCAAGUAAUUUGAAAAAACACGCCAGAGAAGGUUAUAGCCCUGUGUAUUUCAUGUAUAUAAUUAUUAAAAUUGGCAGAAAAUUUACUAAUUAAAAUUAUUUACAUUUUGUAAAAAAUGCAUGAAUUGUGGUAUUAAUUUAUCAUAAGCGAAGCAAUACAAUUAUUGAUAAUAUAUUAAAUUAAAUUAAUUUAAUAUAAUUGAGUAAAACGAGAGCAAACUUGUUUGAAAAUAGGGGAACCAUCCUCUAAGCCUAAGUACGCACUCUUAAUCGAUAGUGAACAAGUACCGUGAGGGAAAGGUGAAAAAGAAGUGAAAUAAAUACUGAAACUGGAUGUAUACAAGCACUCAGAGCUUUUUAUAUCUUAUAUAUAAUGAUAAGUGUAAAGAGUGAUGGGGUACCUUUUGUAUAAUGGGUCAACGAGUAAAUAAAUGAAGCGAGCUUAAGCUAUAGAGUGGAGGCGUAGUAAAAACGAAUAAUAGUGUCAUUUAUUUGACCCGAAACCGAGUGAUCUAGUCAUGAACAGGUUGAAAAAGCGCUAACACGUUUUGGAGGACCGAACUCACGUCUGUGGCAAUAGACGGAGAUGAUUUGUGAUUAGGGGUGAAAAGCCAAUCGAACUCGGAGAUAGCUGGUUUUCUGCGAAAUUUAUUUAGGUAAAGUCUAGAGUAAUAAACUUAGUUUACUUCGUUUAUAAUAGAUAAAAAGGGGGUAGAGCACUCGUUGGGCAAGGGUGGCCCAAAGCCUUACUAAGUCCAAGGAAACUCCUAAUACCUUUUUAUAGUAAUCUAGAAUCAGACUUUGGGCGCUAAGGUCCAAAGUCGAAAGGGAAACAGCCCAGAUCGAACGCUAAGGUUCCAAAGCGUAUAUUUAGUGGUAAAGGAUGUUAUAGAGCCUAGACAACCAGCAAGUAGGCUUAGAAGCAGCCAUCUUAUAAUGAAAGCGUAGUAGCUCACUGGUCUAGUUGUUAAUUGAAAAAUUAACUGGCUAUGUAGCGCCGAAAAUGUAACGGAGCUCAAGUAUACCACCGAAGCGGCGGCUAUAAAUUUUCAAUAAUAAAGUUUAUAGGGUAGCAGAACGUUCUGUAAGUAGAAUAAUGAUAAAUACGUAAGUAUUUAUUUAUAUAUCAGAAGUGAGAAUGUUGACAUGAGUAACGUAAAAUCAUGUGUAAUUCAUGAUCGCCGAAAGUCCAGUGUUUUCUACAAACUAGAAUUCAAUGUAGAGUUAAUCGGCCCCUAAGUAUUCAAGCGAUUGCUGAAAUAUAAUGGGUACAAGAAUUUAAAAUUUCUUGAUGUAUACUAAAUUACGAAUAGUACCUAUUUUAAAAGAUAAAUGGAUUUCUUUUAAAAUAUACCUAUUCCAGGAAAAAAAUAGUAUAUAAACACCGUACUUACCGACACUGGAGGAUGAGUAGAAUAUACUAAGGCGUAGAGAGAAUCAUAUUAAAGGAACUCGGCAAAUUGCCUCCGUAACUUCGGGAUAAGGAGGACCACUUUUAUAAUGAAAUUAAUGAAAGUUUUUUUUAGAAAGAAAGUGGUGGCACAAAAUAGGGAGCGACGACUGUUUACCAAAAACACAGGACUCUGCUAAGCGGUAACGCGACGUAUAGGGUCUGACACCUGCCCGGUGCUGGAAACUUAAGUGGAGAGGUUUGUUGCUGUAAACAUUAUAAAAUAAUGUUGUAAAAUAAAUUCAAGCUUUUAAAUUAAUGUCCAGUAAACGGCAGCUGUAACUAUAACAGUUCUAAGGUAGCGAAACUCAUUGUCGGGUAAGUUCCGACCUGCAUGAAUGGUGUAACGAUUGCUCCGCUGUCUCUAAUAUGAUCUCAGUGAAAUUGAACUCUUCGUGAAGAUGCGAAGUUCCCAAAAGUAGACGGAAAGACCCUAUGCACCUUUACUGCAACUUUACGUUGAAAAAGGAUAUUGAUUGUAGAGGAUAGGUGGGAGCUAUUAUUUAUAAUAGCAACCUUGAAAUACCACCCUUUCUAUAUCGUUUUUCUAAGCAUUAAUAUCAUUUAAAUAUGAUUGUGACAGCGUAUAGUGGGUAGUUUGACUGGGGCGGUCGUUUUCUAAAGAGUAACGAAAACGUGCGAAGGUAAGCUCAAGCUGGAAGGAAAUCAGCUGUAGAGCGUAAUGGUAUAAGCUUGCCUGACUGUGAGACUUACAAGUCAAACAGAGACGAAAGUCGGCCAUAGUGACCCGGGAGCAUCCAAAUGGACGGGCUCUCGCUCAACGGAUCAAAGGUACGCUAGGGAUAACAGGCUAAUGAUUCCCAAGAGCUCUUAUCGACGGAAUCGUUUGGCACCUCGAUGUCGACUCAUCACAUCCUCGAGCUGUAGAAGGUUCGAAGGGUUCGGCUGUUCGCCGAUUAAAGUGGUACGUGAGUUGGGUUCAAUACGUCGUAAGACAGUAUGGUUCCUAUCUUUUUUGGGUGUAAAAAAUUGCCAGGAUGUAUUCUUUGUACGAGAGGACCGGAAUGCACAAACCGCUGGUGUACCAGUUGUUAUGCCAAUAGCAUUGCUGGGUAGCUACGUUUGGACUAGAGAACCGCUGAAAGCAUCUCAAGCGGGAAACUAACCUGAAAACAAGUUUUUGAUAUCGUAGAAGACUACUACGUAAUAGGUGGAAUGUGUAAAAAUAGCAAUAUUUCCAUUUUACUGUUUAUAAUUUAUUAUUUUCAGUAAGAGAGCAAAUCCAUACUAAAUCUAAUUAUAUUAUUUUAUU
This 3009-nucleotide ribosomal RNA is filed under the name Prototheca wickerhamii. RNAcentral's name for it is "bacterial LSU rRNA". It matches the Rfam family "Bacterial large subunit ribosomal RNA". Lineage: Eukaryota; Viridiplantae; Chlorophyta; Trebouxiophyceae; Chlorellales; Chlorellaceae. The record is from RNAcentral.